Molecule: ribosomal RNA, 449 nt
Filed under: uncultured bacterium
Lineage: Bacteria
Description: partial 16S ribosomal RNA
Rfam family: Bacterial small subunit ribosomal RNA
Source: RNAcentral
AACGAACGCUGGCGGCAGGCUUAACACAUGCAAGUCGAGCGAGACCUUCGGGUCUAGCGGCGGACGGGUGAGUAACGCGUGGGAACGUGCCCUUCUCUACGGAAUAGCCCCGGGAAACUGGGAGUAAUACCGUAAACGCCCUUUGGGGGAAAGAUUUAUCGGAGAAGGAUCGGCCCGCGUUGGAUUAGGUAGUUGGUGGGGUAAUGGCCCACCAAGCCGACGAUCCAUAGCUGGUUUGAGAGGAUGAUCAGCCACACUGGGACUGAGACACGGCCCAGACUCCUACGGGAGGCAGCAGUGGGGAAUCUUAGACAAUGGGGGCAACCCUGAUCUAGCCAUGCCGCGUGAGUGAUGAAGGCCUUAGGGUUGUAAAGCUCUUUCAGCUGGGAAGAUAAUGACGGUACCAGCAGAAGAAGCCCCGGCUAACUCCGUGCCAGCAGCCGCCGUAA